This is a non-coding RNA of Schizosaccharomyces pombe (fission yeast), 243 nucleotides long. NCBI's taxonomy places the organism in Eukaryota, Fungi, Ascomycota, Schizosaccharomycetes, Schizosaccharomycetales, Schizosaccharomycetaceae. The record is from the annotation of a GenBank genome assembly.
AAUUUGAAUGAUGAACUUAUUAUAACAGAUUUUAAUAACUUGAAAUCCUGAGGAUGAAAAUAAACAUUAAAUACUUUUCACCUAAUAGUUGCCAAACGCAUAUGGGUGAUAAUAAUCUAGUUAUAUCCAUGCUAUCCACGGCGGAUUAAUGACCGAAAUUAAGUCUCACCCUUUUUCAAAUUAUUGCUAAAAGAAGCAUGCUUUCCUUUGAUCAUCAUAAGCAUUGUUUACUCGUUGAACAAA